This 371-nucleotide ribosomal RNA is filed under the name Sancus acoreensis. RNAcentral describes it as "partial 12S ribosomal RNA". The record is from RNAcentral. Lineage: Eukaryota; Metazoa; Arthropoda; Arachnida; Araneae; Tetragnathidae.
UAAACCAGGAUUAGAUACCCUAUUAUAUUUAAACAAAUUGGGUAGUAUUAUUAAUAAAAACCUUUAUACUUUGGCGGCAUUUUAUCUUAUUAGAGGAAUAUGUUCAUUAAUCGAAACCACACGAUAGUUUUUACUUACUAUAAAAUUUUAUAUACCCCCGUCUAAAGAAUUUAUUUAAAAUUUUUAUUCCAAAUUAUAUUAAAAAAAGUUAGGUAAAGGUGUAGACUAUUAGUAAGAUUAAAUGUAUUACAUUAAAAAAAAAUUUAAGGAUAAAACAGUUAACUGUUUAUUAAAAGAGGAUUUAUAAGUAAUUUACUUUUAAUAAAAAUUAAUGAAUAAGAAAAUAAAUGUGCACAUAUCGCCCGUCACUC